UCUGUGCCAAACCUCCCAUGCUAAAAAACCGCCAGACGCGCCGGCUUAAAGCUUCACUUCGGGCAACCAGCAUCAGCAAGUCACCAAGCAACCUCCAGGCAUUAGUGUGCACCACGGAAAUUGCUCUUUUAGUAGCAUCCAGUCACCUCUUCGUUCUGGGUCAUUUAAAGUUGUGUCCAAGCUGCAGUGCGGCGCGCUGGUCGUGCGCCACCGUCAGAGUCUGAAUGUCAGUGGUCGUACUUGCGGAACAUGCUGCACGGAUGAUCCGGGCUGGGUGAAGAUCCAUCCUGUCGGUGGAAAAGCAGUCAACCAGGCAACCAACCGGUUAGGGAAAGGAGGGGGGAGAGAUGUCCCCGUUAUUCAUGGACACAGGCUACGAGCCCAACAGCCCUGGGUCCCUGUCAGCUGAGGAGUCCAACAGCAACACGGCUGGAUCGGAGAGAGAAGGAGAUGGACCACAGACGGAACACACAGGGACAAAAAGACGAGAGAGGAACAGGGACGCGGCCAGGAGGACCCGCCGAAAACAAACAGAGAGGGCAGAUGAACUUCAUGAGGAGCUUCAGCGUCUCGAGCAGUCAAACUCGGCCCUUCAGAAGGAGAUCACUGUAUUGAAAAAAGAGUUACAGCGCUACACGACAACUCUGUCGCGUCAUGAACCUUAUUGCUGCCUCAGAGCCUCUGGGUCCAGCUCCAGCUCAGCAACCCGCCUUUCAGUUUCCCACCCAACUGAGGGUCAGACCACCUCAAGCCCUCCUAGAGUCGCUCCCCAGGCCUCAAGCUCCACUUUGGCUGCUGCCCCUUCAAUCUCUACCUCCUUAACCUCCAGCUUGGGUCUGAAAACCCUUGACUGUGUUGAAAAUACUCAUCUUCCAGCUUCAGCUCCAACAGCUACAUUAGCCUCGUCUUCUGGCUCCUCUGCUGAACUCAUCAGUGCCUCCUCCUCCAGCCCCGUGACUGUUCCUUGUUCAGUAUUGUUUUCUACUCAUGCAGCUCCUCACUCUUUGUUCAGUGAAUCACGCUACAAUCCAAUCACGUCAAGGCCGACAAAUGUUAUGCCCAUCUGCACCAGUCCCAUUUCAACCCCUGUUCCCUCCAGCGGCGUCACCACAGUCGCUCAGCCUCAGUCUGGGCAAGACAACAUCCAUGAAACCUCUCCUGUGUCAGCAAAUGCAUCUUUCUCUGCUCUCCACUCUGGAACAGUGGACGUGUUCUUAAUGAGACAAACCUCUUUUGCAUCUGUUUCAUCUAAUGUGGUCCCCCCAUACUCCCAUUUAACAGGAGAAAAUGAAGGUCUAGUAGCACAAGGUUGUCCCAUGAGGGUGCCCCAGCUUCAUGCCGAUCACUACAGUGGAAGAUCAAGUCUCAUGUGUACUAUUUUACCAUCAGCUCUUCAAGAUCCUGCUCCUCAGAACCUUAGAGAUUCACCUCAGACAAACUUGGAGCCGUCUCCUGCCCCUACCUUUGCUCUAAAACCAAGUUACGGACAUCGAGUUACACCCAAACCAUCAUCUCUGCUCUCCCUCCUCACCGUCCCGAGUCCUCUCAAUACCUCUCAGACUACCUCCACCAGCUCUGAUGGACUUAUUGGUCAACAUCCACCCUCACUGCCACUGUUGGGUGAUCCCUCAAGUGACCUUUCCCUUUCUGAGCUCCUGGAGGGCAACGAUUGGAUCCUAAGUGGGACUAGCAAUCAGUAGCACUACAUGCCACAUAUAAGACAAGCGUCCCUUUGUCAAAAUGGACAUUUAAUUUAUAUCUUUUGAGCUGUUUAAUUAAUGAUUUAGGUCUCAGUGCUCUUCCAAAAAGAACUGCUGUUUAGCUCAUUGGGAGUGAGAAUAUGAAGCAGACUAACUACGUUUUGCACACAGAUUUUCACAUCGGGUAUCCAGUGGGCGCUCACUCAUGGAAAGCUGGCAUCGAAAAAUGAAUCAAGGGCCAAAUAAGUGCCUGGACUGUUGCUCAUACUCAGCUUCGUUCAUCUUCUUAAAGGGAAACUCCAGGGAUUUAGUGUUGCACUUCCAUAGGUUUAAGAGACAGAAGAAUGGCCAAACCCGAAGCAACAGAGACCAAGAUAUCCUGACGUUUAGCUCCUACUAUAGGUUAAACGCCGGAUCCUACAUUUCCCAUCAUGCAACCAGUAGAAUGUUUUGCUGGACUCUCACUUUAUUUUUUAGAUUUGAAUCCUCGAAGCUCAGGCUGAGAAAAUUCUGAAGACAUCGCUGUCACAUCAUCAGGGUAAUUUUCUCAGACUCGUCCAAGCUGAGCUCACCACAGAAGACCUUAUACAGCUGUUUCCACAAGCUGAGUAAUACUCCCCAAGAUGAAUAAAUGGACAUUCAUGUCUGAAGUCAGUGGAGUUUCUCUUUCACAACAGCAAAGAACGCCAACAGUUCUGUAAAGCCUGGCUUUCCUGCAGCUGCUAAAAACUCUUUCACAAGAAAGAGGAAACUUUUUCACAAUUUUGAAUAAGCCAAAAUCAAAGGUAUGCAUCGUCCUUUCCUGAACAUGCGACUCAGCCUUAGAUACAUUAACUUCUAUUUUGAAAAAGGGUGGAGCGAUCACUUCCCCACGACUUCAUGGAAAUGCCAUUUGGAGAAAGUUCCACCUUUCCCUGGAGCUGCAGUCUGAGCACAAGGCAGUGUCAAAGCUGGCCACAUCCUGUUUACUGGAUGCAUGUUACGGUCGUCACGAUUUAACAUUCAGCCAUGACUUCACAAGACAAGACCCUGAUUUAAGUCCAGCCCAAAUGUAAGUAAAAGAUUGCAUAUUUUUUGGAAGAGCUUGUAAUAAUGUUCUAAAACAUAAGCUUUACCAGUCUGUUUUACAAACAGAGCUGUUUUCGCAUGCAGUGCACUGAUGGGAGGCCCUCACUCGUCUGCGGGAGGAACAGUACAGUAAACAGCAGCGUGAGGUGAGGAGGUUGUCAGGGACGGCUUCAUUAUGCUUGAUGAUGACGAAGAGGAGUGAGACACAGAUGUGGUGACCCACUGAAAUCCUCAUCCCUGAGAGUCUGUUGUAUAAUUGAUCAAAUGAGAGAGAGAAGUGAACUUUUCCUUGUGACCCCUCCCUGUAACCUGACACUGAGAGGCCAAUAGGCUGCUGAAAUCUGUUAAAGGAACUACUGCUAUGAGGAAACAGACUGUAAUUUCUUACUAUUUGUAGCUGCUUAUGCAUUGUAAUUGUAUCACAAUGACGAUUUUGGUUUUUCAGAUGAUGAUUCAUGUAAUUAUUCUGCUUUAUAUACUGUAUAUCUAAAGUUUAGGAUUUAUCUUGUCUUUAUCGUGCAUUAGAUUAAUAUAUUUAAGAUAUAAUAAUGAUUGCAAUAAAAAAUUCA
This is an RNA transcript of Toxotes jaculatrix (banded archerfish), 3337 nucleotides long. It is a transcript of the gene named basic leucine zipper ATF-like transcription factor 2, with no coding region annotated. The record is from RefSeq and is a predicted model, not a curated record. The transcript has 4 exons. NCBI's taxonomy places the organism in Eukaryota, Metazoa, Chordata, Actinopteri, Toxotidae.